GCUGCCUCAGAGCCUGAAGCCAUGGUACUUGAUACUACAAUCUCCCCUCUUAGUGUUUCUGGCCAGCUUUUGAGAACAGCAGGGAAGGUAUUCAGGGUAGAAGACAAUGGCAAAUGUCAAGAAGGAGAAGGAGAAUCUAGAGUUUAAAAGACUGCUGAGUGACAUGUGGAACAGAUCAAAGGAAGAAAUUUAUCAGUCUCCAAUUCUCCAGAAAUGUUGAUGGUUCAUUACUUAUCCAGAGAAUAUCAAAGUGACACAGAAGUGAGGAGAAUCUAAUUUUCCUUUUAGGAAAAAUGGGAAAUGACACUUGGAUAGAAAACCAUGGAAGAUUUCUUGACUAUCUAUCCCCAAAUAGGAAUCUCUCUAAGGGCUUAGACUCUACACCCAAGAAAAUCAAGACCACAAAUAUAGAAGAAAAUGUGGAGCAGCUGACUUUUCCAUGAAUUCAAAUAAUUUUCCUGAAUCUUUCAAAGCAGAAC
RNAcentral lists this long non-coding RNA (479 nucleotides) under Monodelphis domestica (gray short-tailed opossum). RNAcentral's name for it is "lncRNA (ENSMODG00000040054.1)". Lineage: Eukaryota; Metazoa; Chordata; Mammalia; Didelphimorphia; Didelphidae. The record is from RNAcentral.